Molecule: ribosomal RNA, 451 nt
Filed under: uncultured marine eukaryote
Lineage: Eukaryota
Description: SSU rRNA
Rfam family: Eukaryotic small subunit ribosomal RNA
Source: RNAcentral
UUAAAAAGCUCGUAGUUGGAUUCCGGAGUGGGCCAGUUGGUCCGCCGCAAGGUGUGUUACUGACUGGUUUGCUCUUCUUCGCAAAGACUGCGUGUGCUCUUUGUUGAGUGUGCGUAGGAUUUACGACGUUUACUUUGAAAAAAUUAGAGUGUUCAAAGCAGGCUAUUGCUUGAAUACAUGAGCAUGGAAUAAUGGAAUAGGACUUUGGUCCCAUUUUGUUGGUUUCUAGGACCGAAGUAAUGAUUAAGAGGGACAAUUGGGGGCAUCCGUAUUUCGUUGUCAGAGGUGAAAUUCUUGGAUUUACGAAAGACGAACAACUGCGAAAGCACUUGCCAAGAGUGUUUUCAUUAAUCAAGAACGAAAGUUAGAGGAUCGAAGACGAUCAGAUACCGUCCUAGUUCUAACCAUAAACGAUGUCGACUAGGGAUCAGCGGGCGUUAUCGUACGACCC